GACGAACGCUGGCGGCGUGCUUAACACAUGCAAGUCGAACGGAAAGGCCCUGCUUUUGUGGGGUGCUCGAGUGGCGAACGGGUGAGUAACACGUGAGUAACCUGCCCUUGACUUUGGGAUAACUUCAGGAAACUGGGGCUAAUACCGGAUAGGAGCUCCUGCUGCAUGGUGGGGGUUGGAAAGUUUCGGCGGUUGGGGAUGGACUCGCGGCUGAUCAGCUUGUUGGUGGGGUAGUGGCUUACCAAGGCUUUGACGGGUAGCCGGCCUGAGAGGGUGACCGGCCACAUUGGGACGGAGAUACGGCCCAGACUCCUACGGGACGCAGCAGUGGAGAAGAUUGCACAAUGGGCGGAAGCCUGAUGCAGCAACGCCGCGUGCGGGAUGACGGCCUUCGGGUUGUAAACCGCUUUCGCCUGUGACGAAGCGUGAGUGACGGUAAUGGGUAAAGAAGCACCGGCUAACUACGUG
Molecule: ribosomal RNA, 468 nt
Filed under: uncultured bacterium
Lineage: Bacteria
Description: partial 16S ribosomal RNA
Rfam family: Bacterial small subunit ribosomal RNA
Source: RNAcentral